RNAcentral lists this ribosomal RNA (468 nucleotides) under uncultured bacterium. RNAcentral's name for it is "partial 16S ribosomal RNA". It matches the Rfam family "Bacterial small subunit ribosomal RNA", at positions 28 to 507 of the family's 1533-position model. The record is from RNAcentral.
GACGAACGCUGGCGGCGUGCUUAACACAUGCAAGUCGAACGGCAAGGCCCUGCUUUUGUGGGGUGCUCGAGUGGCGAACGGGUGAGUGACACGAGCGUAUCCUGCCCUUGCCUUUCGGCUCACUUCAGGAAACUGGGACUAAUACCGGAAAGGUGCUCCUGCUGCAUGGUGGGGGCGGGAAAGUUUCGGCGGUUGGGGAUGGAAUCGCGGCUGAUCAGCUUGUUGGUGGGGUAGUGGCUUACCAGGGCUUUGUCGGGUAGCCGGCCUGAGAGUGUGACCGGCCACAGUGGGACUGAGAUACGGCACGGAGCCGUACGGAAGACAGGAGUGGGGGAUAAUGCACAAUGGGCCGAAGCCGGGUGCAGCAACACGGCGUGCUGGAUGAUGGCCUGCUGUUUUGAGGGCGUAUAGGCGUGUGACGGUGCGUGAUUGAAGGUAACGGAUAAAGAAGCACCGGCUAACUACGUG